This 72-nucleotide transfer RNA is filed under the name Hemiarma marina. Its description in RNAcentral is "tRNA-Cys". It matches the Rfam family "tRNA". From Rfam's summary of the family: Transfer RNA (tRNA) molecules are approximately 80 nucleotides in length. Their secondary structure includes four short double-helical elements and three loops (D, anti-codon, and T loops). The record is from RNAcentral. Lineage: Eukaryota; Cryptophyceae; Goniomonadida; Goniomonadaceae.
GGUCAGAUCGCAUAUCCGGUAAUGCGUCGGAUUGCAAAUCCGAAGAGAGCGGUUCAAGUCCGCUUCUGACCU